Molecule: ribosomal RNA, 116 nt
Filed under: Lentisphaeria bacterium
Lineage: Bacteria; Pseudomonadati; Lentisphaerota; Lentisphaeria
Source: RNAcentral
GCUGGUGACUAUGGCGAGAAGGAAACACACGUUCCCAUCCCGAACACGCCUGUUAAGCUUCUCAGCGGCGAUGGUACUUGGGCGUUAGGCCCCGGGAGAGUAGCACGUCGCCAGCC